RNAcentral lists this transfer RNA (67 nucleotides) under Bombus breviceps. RNAcentral's name for it is "tRNA-Met". The record is from RNAcentral. Lineage: Eukaryota; Metazoa; Arthropoda; Insecta; Hymenoptera; Apidae.
UAUAUAAUAAGCUAAAUUAAGCUUAUAGGUUCAUACCCUAUCGAUAAAUUGAAAAAUUUUUAUAUAA